CAGGCCCGGACACUGGAAGGAUUGACAGAUUGAGAGCUCUUUCUUGAUUCGGUGGGUGGUGGUGCAUGGCCGUUCUUAGUUGGUGGAGCGAUUUGUCUGGUUAAUUCCGAUAACGAACGAGACUCUAGCCUGCUAAAUAGGUGACGGGUUUUAUCAAUUGAAACCGAAGGGGGUACGGAGGCGUCGGGAUCAGGUGGCGGCGGUUUGGGGCCGUUGGGACGGGAGCGCGGUCUCGUUGUUUUCUCGGGGGUUUCGUCGGGCGUCGUGGCUUUCGGGUUGCGGCGUUCGGCGGGGCUCUUUGGGGGCGGCGGGGUUGCGUUUUCGCGCCUGGCGGUUUCGGUCGUCGUCAUCCCCGGCGAUUCUCCUGCUCUCGCGUCCGUCACAAGUCUUCUUAGAGGGACAAGCGGCGUCCAGCCGCGUGACAGUGAGCAAUAACAGGUCUGUGAUGCCCUUAGAUGUCCUGGGCCGCACGCGCGCUACACUGAAGGAAUCAGCGUGUUUCACUCUCCCUGUCCGAAAGGACCGGGUAACCGCUGAACCUCCUUCGUGG
This 550-nucleotide ribosomal RNA is filed under the name Ceriodaphnia sp. RNAcentral's name for it is "SSU rRNA". It matches the Rfam family "Eukaryotic small subunit ribosomal RNA", at positions 1219 to 1570 of the family's 1831-position model. The record is from RNAcentral. Lineage: Eukaryota; Metazoa; Arthropoda; Branchiopoda; Diplostraca; Daphniidae.